GAAAGGCCAAUCAAACUCGGAAAUAGCUGGUUCUCCGCGAAAUCUAUUUAGGUAGAGCGUCCUGUGAAUACUCCUGGGGGUAGAGCACUGGAUGGGCUAUGGGGGCUCACCGCCUUACUGAUCCUAACCAAACUCCGAAUACCAGGAAGUACUGCAGGGCAGACACACAGUGGGUGCUAACGUCCAUUGUGGAGAGGGCAACAACCCUGACCGCCAGUUAAGGUCCCUAAGUUAUGGCUAAGUGGGAAAGGAUGUAGAGAUCCCAAAACAACCAGGAUGUUGGCUUAGAAGCAGCCAUCAUUUAAAGAAAGCGUAACAGCUCACUGGUCUAAAUAAGGGUCUCCGCGCCGAAAAUGUACCGGGGCUCAAGCCAUACACCGAAACUGCGGGCGUGUUUGACACGCGGUAGCGGAGCGUUCUGUAAGUCUGCGAAGGGAUACUCGUGAGAGAUCCUGGAGAUAUCAGAAGUGCGAAUGCUGACAUGAGUAACGAUAAAGAGGGUGAGAGACCCUCUCGCCGAAAGUCCAAGGGUUCCUGCGCAACGCUAAUCGGCGCAGGGUUAGCCGGCCCCUAAGGUGAGGCCGAAAGGCGUAGCCGAUGGGAAUGGGGUUAAUAGUCCCCAGCCAGUGGGAAGUGACGGAUGCCGUGUGUUGUAUGCCCUUAUUGGAUUGGGUGUGCAGCGAAGGUGUCCCUGGAAAUAGCUCCCACAUUCGACCGUACCCGAAACCGACACAGGUGGACUGGUAGAGCAUACCAAGGCGCUUGAGAGAACUGUGCUGAAGGAACUCGGCAAAUUGCUCCCGUAAGUUCGCGAGAAGGGAGACCCGUGAUUGGGCAACCAGUCAUGGGUGGCACAGACCAGGGGGUUGCGACUGUUUAUCAAAAACACAGGGCUCUGCGAAGCCGCAAGGCGACGUAUAGGGUCUGACGCCUGCCCGGUGCCGGAAGGUUAAGAGGAGGUGUGCAAGCACCGAAUUGAAGCCCCGGUAAACGGCGGCCGUAACUAUAACGGUCCUAAGGUAGCGAAAUUCCUUGUCGGGUAAGUUCCGACCUGCACGAAUGGCGUAACGACUUCCCCGCUGUCUCCAGCACAGGCUCAGUGAAAUUGAAUUCCCCGUGAAGAUGCGGGGUUCCUGCGGUCAGACGGAAAGACCCCGUGCACCUUUACUACAGCUUCACACUGGUAUUCGUGAUGACAUGUGUAGGAUAGGUGGUAGGCGUUGAAAUGAGGGCGCCAGCUCUCAUGGAGCCAUCCUUGAAAUACCACCCUUGUCCUCAUGGAUAUCUAACCGCGGCGCAACAACGCCCGGGACCGUGUGUGGCGGGUAGUUUGACUGGGGCGGUCGCCUCCCAAAUGGUAACGGAGGCGCGCGAAGGUGGGCUCAGAGCGGUCGGAAAUCGCUCGUCGAGUGCAAUGGCAUAAGCCCGCCUGACUGCGAGACUGACAAGUCGAGCAGAGACGAAAGUCGGUCAUAGUGAUCCGGUGGUCCCUCGUGGAAGGGCCAUCGCUCAACGGAUAAAAGGUACGCCGGGGAUAACAGGCUGAUGAUGCCCAAGAGUCCAUAUCGACGGCAUUGUUUGGCACCUCGAUGUCGGCUCAUCGCAUCCUGGGGCUGGAGCAGGUCCCAAGGGUUUGGCUGUUCGCCAAUUAAAGCGGUACGUGAGCUGGGUUCAGAACGUCGCGAGACAGUUCGGUCCCUAUCUGCCGUGGGUGUAGGAGAAUUGAGAGGAUCUGUCCCUAGUACGAGAGGACCGGGAUGGACGUACCUCUGGUGGACCUGUUGUGGCGCCAGCCGCAUUGCAGGGUAGCUAUGUACGGAAAGGAUAACCGCUGAAGGCAUCUAAGCGGGAAACCUACCUCAAAAC
RNAcentral lists this ribosomal RNA (1866 nucleotides) under Pseudovibrio exalbescens DSM 16456. Its description in RNAcentral is "bacterial LSU rRNA". It matches the Rfam family "Bacterial large subunit ribosomal RNA", at positions 823 to 2805 of the family's 2925-position model. Lineage: Bacteria; Pseudomonadati; Pseudomonadota; Alphaproteobacteria; Hyphomicrobiales; Stappiaceae. The record is from RNAcentral.